Molecule: long non-coding RNA, 2339 nt
Organism: Perca flavescens (yellow perch)
Lineage: Eukaryota; Metazoa; Chordata; Actinopteri; Perciformes; Percidae
Exons: 3
Source: RefSeq, a predicted model, not a curated record
CACCUACUAAAGGAGUUCCAGUGAAACCGACUGCUUACUGUUCUAAAUGAUUGCACUACAUCAAAGAAAAAGAAAAGAUGGUCAGCGCUGAUUGACACAAAUCACAGCAGGAAGAGAAGAGGAGCAAUAACAGAGAUAGUUACCUGAAGGCCAUGACGACAUCUUGGGACCCUUUUGGUGUAAAAUAAGUACAUCAAAAUGACCUGACGCUGUAAGUGAAAACUAGAAAAGGAUUUAAAAAAAAUUUGAAAGUUGCAACUAAAACUGUUUCUUUGUUGAUUUUGAAAUGUCUUUGUGUGACAGUACCAGCUGAAAAUGAAAGUGACCGACUGAAAGAAGUACUAAAGUAGUGAAUGACGUUUAAAUAAGUUAAACUUCCAACACUGAAUGGAGUUAAAGUGAAGGCACCGAAGGAAGUUGUGAUGUCAGUUGAAGUGAAGUCCUCAAAAGAAUUGGUGGCAGUUGAAGUGUGUGAAUCUAUCACACAUCAUAAUACUUACGACAUAGAAAUCAGUUUAAGUUGACAUGAAUGACAUUCAUGCGUUAGUUUAAAGAGCUGAGUGAAGUCGAAGAGUCAGUUGAAGCUCCAACACUGAAAGGAGUUGAAGUGGACGUGCUGAAGGAAGUUGUGAUGUCAGUUGAAGUGAUAAAAGGAGCCAGAAGUGUCAGUUGCAAAGUAAAAACUUAUGUAAAAACUUAAGCGGAUGUAAUUUGAAGUAAAUCUAUCAAAUUAUACACAUCACGUUAAAACAAGCAAGCACUGAAUGAAGUGUCAGUUUAAGUCACCAAGUGACCAUUUUUAUCUAUGACAUUGAAUGUUUCUUUAAAUCUUGACCACUGGUUGUUAACAUUUAUGACCUUGAAUCACACGUCUUAAUGUAGCUUUGUUAUUAACUUCAUUAACAUUACCCCCAUUCCCGAAGGCUCGGUGUGUGUGUGUGUGUGUGUGUGUGUGUGUUACUAAGGUACGAGAUCACAAAUUGAUUUUUCCUGUUCCUACACAUUAAUCUCUCCGUUUCAAGCAGUGAAACUAUCUUACAGUGUAAUUUCAUCGUAUGAAUAAGGUAACAUAAAAUACUUAACCGGCCUUACUGGUAUUUAAAUGUAAGAAUUGGGUUUUUUAGAGAAAAAGAGAAAGUAUUAGUCAAUUAUUCGACUAAGAUCGCUUUUUGUGUGAAAAAAAGGUAAUUUUCUUUAUGUUUUUUACAUGCUGUGUAACUUACUGUAUUUCCAAGAAACUUAUGAGUGCUUUUGCAUGACUCUUUGUGGAGAAACUCAGUUUUACAGAUCUGUUGAUUAAAUCAACUAAUUAUUGGACAAAAUCGUAUGAAUCGACUGAGAAUUUCAGCCGUAGUAAAUACUGCGUACCUACCCCAGUAUUUCCAGAAACACUUGCCAUGUAUUUAACUUUUUCUCUAAAUUGUUACUACCAUUUUUCUUUUCUUUCACUGUAUCUACAUUUAAGGAACCAGUAGGAACUCUUUUUUUCUUGGUACAUGAUUCAUACAACUAAAUUACUUUUUCUGUCUGUUAGGUAAAAUUACAGUUCAAUAUCAUUAUUGAUUGAACUUUUUUUAAACUAUUAUUGUUAAAUCAUUAUUAUCUGUACUACUCCGUACAUGCCUCUGAAAAUUGCCCCCUGGGGACAAAUUAAGUGUUUUGAAUUGAAUCUUCCAGGUUUAAAUUGUUCAUAAAUUGGUUAUUUUUUCAAUGUGUUGUGUCAUCUAAUACAGAAAUAGGAUAAAGAAAGAUGAUCGCAGCCCACCAUUAAUGUAAAUAUUUUUGGAGCACAUCAAUAAAAUGUUUCAUGUAAACUAUAAUUAUUAUUGAUAAGCAGUUGUGUUUGAAAAGGGGUGAGAACCACCACUCAGCCAGUUGUAAAACUUUUUCUGGGGCUCUGAAGGGGGAUUUCAAAAGUUAAGGCAAAAUCUUAAGGCCUUACAGUUAAUAGGAAGGAUUUUUUUUAUUAAAUUCUUAAUUGUCAAUUGCCAAUGAUAUGGGAAUGCUGUGGAAUUGAAGAGUUUUGAAGUCACUCUAUAACACUGCUUAACCAAUCAAAGAGGAGCAUGUGUGUGCGCGUGCAUGGGUGCGGGUGUCUGUGUGUGUUGUGCGUCUGUGCGUAUGCGUGUCUGUGUGUGUGCAUGGCAAGGGACAGGUGUGUCAGAUGUUUGUUUAUAUUGUGUCAUGUCUUUUUGAUAACUGCAGGAGCGUGACCUUACAGAUGUUUAUAUGUUAUUCUGUCAGUUGUUAGAGCAGGUGAUGCAAGGAAAUGUUCUGUGUGAACAGACUAUAAAGUUCUAUAUUAUCUUAACGGACUGUAAAAAAUAUGCACCGGGGAA